GGGCUUGCUAAUUCCCUGGAUAAAAGAAUAAGAAUUCAAAAUUAUAAUUAAACAUUAAACAAAUAGUAAAGUAGAAGAAGCAAGUAUAUAGUUGGGAUGAGAAGAUUAGUAGCUUUGUCUUUGACAUUUAGCUUGAAUUCGCAACAGCAUUGUAGACAGAGUGAAGUUCUCAGAAAGAGACCUGAAAGCCUUCUUGACUUGUCUCCUAUCCUUUCACAUCUAUUCCAACUAUUACCAAGUUUUACCAGAAGCAGAAUCUCCUUUUCCUUGCUAAUUCCGCAGCCAUAGCCUAUGCCAGACCACAUCUCCUCAUUCCUGGACAAUCUAGCCUUCUCUAGGCUCCCCAUUUUGAAUUACUCUUGCAUGCAUUCCUGUCAAAAUAACCUUACUAAAGCACCAUUUAUAAUAUUCUCUAGCCAAUCUAACUACCAUAGAUCUCAGUGACCUCUACGAACUAAGAGUACCCAUAGUAUUUACAAUUAUAUCCAUACAGCUUAACAUUUAAACAUUCUCAGAUAGUUUCAUUUAAGUUCAUUUUGUCUGCCUUGAGGAAAAAGAGUUUGUCUCAUAUUUCUUUGCAGUUACUGUAACACGUAACACAAGGUGUUCAACAUCAAUCCUCAGAUUCAAGUCCUACCCAAUUUGGACUACUUUAACUGUAGUAGAAUAUUCUGAUCUGUGCCAGGAAAAGGUAGGUUACCAUUCAUUCCUUUAUCCAUUCACUCAUCAGACAUUUUUAAGGCAACCUCCGUAUGCAAGACACUGUGCCAGGCAAUAGAUACGAAGAUGUAUGUCCUGCCUUGAAGGAUAUUGUGGGGGAAUCAGACAUGUACAUCAUGGUGAGGACUAGAGAGAAGUAUGCACGGGUGCUUCAGGGCACCCAGGGGAGACACUUGAAAUCAGACUGGAAAUAGGACAGAACAUCAUUGUCCAAGGUGUGUUUCCCAGAGUGCUAGUCCUGUAAGAUUCCCCAAGGAAAAAAAAAGUUUUAUGGUCAAAUAAAUGUGAGAAACUCUGAUCACUGUCACUCCCUCUCCCAAAGAGCCACAAAGCCCAUUAGCAUGCUAAUGCCUAAGAGGAGUCCUGCAGUAGAAACCUGUGGGAAACCCAGGGUAUGAAAUAUAAAAUUCCUAACCAUCAGGAGAAAAGUAGUAGUUGAAACCUUCUGGAUGGGUGAAGUCACUGAGGAAUUGAGGGAAAAGAACAGAGGGGCCAGCCACAGCCAAGGAUGAGAAGAGUAUCAACAUUUAAGUGUGGAAUGGAAAAAGAGUGGCCCAUGAGGGAGGCUAAGAUGAACUGGCCAGGGAUGUAGAAAUAAAUCCAAAACAAAACAGAAAACCAGGAUCAGAGGGAGAGGAUAGAAUUUCAAGGAGGGUUUGGCCAGAAACAUCAGAGCCCCAAAUGAAAAACUGGCAUGUCCACUGGAUUUAGCAAUCAAGGGGUUAUUAGAGACGUUGGUGGGAGUGUUAUCAGGGCAACAUUGGGAGGGAGGGGGCUUGCAGUGGACUGAGGCUGUGAGGAAGUAAGAGUAAUAAGUAUAGACUGGCCUUCUGAGAAAUGUGGCUAUGCAGGGAUGGGAAUAACAUGGGAAGGGACAGAGAGAGAUGCGGUGUUGAAGGAGGGUUAUUUGGCAAUGAGGAGAUUUGAAACUCUUUGUUAUAUUCUAAGGGGAAAGAGCCAAAUAGAGAGGAAAGGUUAAGACAGGAAUUUGAGGGAAGGGUGCCUAAUUAGACUCAGUAACUGAAAAGACAGCGAGGAGGGGAGGUAAAUCACAGUGAGGUGGAAUUAGCCACAGACAGAAAGAGGGCGACCUUUUCUACUGGGCAGGAACAAAGAAAAAAGGGUAGGAGAGAGAAAGUUAUUAGUAAUAUCAUUAAUUCAUAUUUAUGAGGACCUGCUCUAUGCCAGGCACUGUGCUAAGUGGUUUGCAGAGUGUUGAGAAAGGCAGUCUCGUGCAGUCUCUGGAUCCCCGUUCAGCCACAUAAGGAUGGGCUUGAGCCUGGAACACUUCCUAACCAAGAGAUGAACCGCCUACGCAGCCUGUGCUGGGCUUAUCACCUUGUGUAGGAGUAUCUUUCCCUGUUGCAGACUCCAUGAAUAUUCCUGGCCUCUGCUGACGUGUGUAUCUCAGUGGCCCUCAGACGCAUCCCAGGCUUUCAAUAUUUCAGACUCCACACAGGAGAAGGAGGAGUCCUGCCUCUGUGAUAGGUGGAAGGAGUGCACAUAGGCACAUUGUUCUGCUGGAAGAGAUGGUCUAGCCACGGGGGACUGAGGCACACUGUUGCAGUUGAUCUUGCACUGUCUCUUCACUGUCUAUGUAACAUAACCCUUCACUAUGUAAAGGGUUAUGUUAUGUUUUCCUUGGUAACUCCUGUGUCAAGGUGCAAUGGGAAAAAGUGGAGUACUCCUCUUGAAUUAGUGCACAGUAUUCCACUCAACACAUAGGUUGUCCCAUUUAAUCCUUACAGUAAUACUUUAGGGUAGGCACUAAUAUCAUCCCAAUUCUACAGAUGAAGAAAGAGCAGUAGGUCUAAUGGAGUCAAGAUACAAGUCAGGUAAAGAAAGAUUUCUUGCCUAGUGAGUACUUUCUUAGAAAGAAGCUCUUCCUUGGUGUUAUCAAUUUUUCUGAUUGAAGUAAUUGAAGGAGGAAGCAAGACUAUUUGCUGAGAGUGAGGCAGGGAGGUGGCAAGGGAAGGAUGUCUGAGGAACGGAACAGUCACGAUUGGAAUAGUUGCAGAAGAGAAUGAGAGAGUGUGCUAAGUAAAGACAUACUUGAGAACCUAGCCAACAUUGAAGCACAUACUUCAGUUGAGGCUUCAAUUUCUAUAGUUUGUGACACCCCGCCCCUGCCACCCCCAUCUGCUAUGCCAGGAUCUAGUUAGGAAGGCUGGGAAAAGAUAGACUGAGACUUGCAGGGUUUUACAAAGAAGCAUAUACAUCCUUAGAAAUGACUACCAAUAUAUACAAGAUGAUUGAUCCCAGAUGCUCUACUGUAGAUAUAAGCAAAGUACUGCCAGGGUACAGUGGAUGGAGAGGGAUUCAUUCUGAUAGGAAAUUAGAGAAAUCUGAGGAUAUGGAUAACAUUUAAACUUUUACUAGUGUAAAAUUUUAGCAGUUUUCAAGCCUGAUCUACUGAGAAAUGAAUUAACAUCAGAAAAGGAAGAGCAUGUUUGCAGGGGAAACAAUAAGUUCAGUUUUCAGACAUUGAUUUUGAGAUGCCUACAGUUGUAACACAUAGAAAUGUUUAGAUUUGGAAGUUACCACCUACAGGUAGUAGUUCAAGCUUCACACAUGAAGUUGCUGGCAUGCAGAGGGAGUAAAGAUAUCAUAAAGCUAUCUCGCAACCUCAUCACAGAUAAGGACAGAUACAAGGGUACCACUAGGCACCAGGGCAGAGUUUUCUGGCAAUGAAAUCAAGACAGAAGAGGAAGAAAAGCCUGGGAUGCAUACCACCCCAGCUGAUCUUGUGUCACACACACACACCACUGC
This 3489-nucleotide long non-coding RNA is filed under the name Homo sapiens (human). RNAcentral's name for it is "HSALNT0043812". The record is from RNAcentral. Lineage: Eukaryota; Metazoa; Chordata; Mammalia; Primates; Hominidae.